UUAAAAGUUUCCCUUUUAUUAUUUCCGGGAGCGUGGAUAUUUGAGCGCUGGGCGUGUCCUCAAGGUGAUCUGACAAAUAACUGGCUCGUGCUCGAGCAGGUCACAGACGGGUAUAAAAGCACCUGUCAGCGACUAGUGAUGGCAAAAGGUGUCGUGCUGCAGGAGGGUCAGAGGUCAUGUGGUCCGCAGUGAAACUCGCGCUCAGCUGCUUGCUGUUGUUGCCUUAUGAACUUGAGGCGAAAUCUCUAAUAAAUCUCCUGCAACAGGAAGGUAAACCGCUCAAAUUCUUUGGUAAAGGCUCUGAAAAAU
Molecule: non-coding RNA, 309 nt
Organism: Paramisgurnus dabryanus
Lineage: Eukaryota; Metazoa; Chordata; Actinopteri; Cypriniformes; Cobitidae
Source: RefSeq, a predicted model, not a curated record